RNAcentral lists this long non-coding RNA (384 nucleotides) under Erythranthe guttata (spotted monkey flower). RNAcentral describes it as "long non-coding RNA (EGUT_LNC002406)". Lineage: Eukaryota; Viridiplantae; Streptophyta; Magnoliopsida; Lamiales; Phrymaceae. The record is from RNAcentral.
AAAAAUAAAGAAGAGACAUCAUCUUCUACCCGUCAAACCACCCCACGCCCCAAAAAAAACAUCUUUCAUCUACUUCCCAACCGCCGCCGCCAGCCCCCGACCACCCAUUGGCUUUCGUACUUUUAUGGACGGAAACCAUCUUUCCGGUCUGGGAUUAGUAUUAGCAGAAGAUAAAUUGGAGUUAGAAAUAAUUAGAGAUUCAUAUUUUCUGCUAGCUGCUCACCUUCCUUCCACCACCGCCGCCGCCCCUUUCUCGACUGCCGGAGCGCUGCUGCUGUUGUUCAUUUUCCUUAUCGCGGCCGCAAUUUGCAGCGCUAUUUUCUUGUUUCUUGCACCUUCAGAACCUGCAAAUCUGAGUUUUGGAUGUAAAUGGUGGAGAGGAUA